This 492-nucleotide ribosomal RNA is filed under the name uncultured bacterium. Its description in RNAcentral is "partial 16S ribosomal RNA". It matches the Rfam family "Bacterial small subunit ribosomal RNA", at positions 29 to 507 of the family's 1533-position model. The record is from RNAcentral.
AGUGAACGCUGGCGGUAGGCCUAACACAUGCAAGUCGAACGGCAGCACAGUAAGAGCUUGCUCUUACGGGUGGCGAGUGGCGGACGGGUGAGGAAUACAUCGGAAUCUACUUUUUCGUGGGGGAUAACGUAGGGAAACUUACGCUAAUACCGCAUACGACCUACGGGUGAAAGCAGGGGAUCUUCGGACCUUGCGCGAUUGAAUGAGCCGAUGUCGGAUUAGCUAGUUGGCGGGGUAAAGGCCCACCAAGGCGACGAUCCGUAGCUGGUCUGAGAGGAUGAUCAGCCACACUGGAACUGAGACACGGUCCAGAGUCCUACGGGAGGCAGCAGUGGGGAAUAUUGGACAAUGGGCGCAAGCCUGAUCCAGCCAUACCGCGUGGGUGAAGAAGGCCUUCGGGUCGUAAAGCCCUUUUGUUGGGAAAGAAAAGCAGCAGGUUAAUACCCCGCUGUUCUGACGGUACCCAAAGAAUAAGCACCGGCUAACUUCGUG